UGAGAUGUUGGGUUAAGUCCCGCAACGAGCGCAACCCUUGUGUUUAGUUGGAUUUUUCUAAACAGACUGCCUUGGUAACGGGGAGGAAGGAGGGGAUGAUGUCAGGUCCGUAUUGCCCUUACACCUGGGGCUACAAACACGCUACAAUGGCCAGUACAAUGGGCAGCUAAAUCGCGAGAUGGAGCAAAUCCCACCAAAGCUGGUCCCAGUUCGGAUUGCAGGCUGAAACUCGCCUGCAUGAAGUCGGAAUCGCUAGUAACCGUAGGUCAGAACACUACGGUGAAUACGUUCCCGGGUCUU
RNAcentral lists this ribosomal RNA (300 nucleotides) under uncultured bacterium. Its description in RNAcentral is "bacterial SSU rRNA". It matches the Rfam family "Bacterial small subunit ribosomal RNA", at positions 1068 to 1382 of the family's 1533-position model. The record is from RNAcentral.